CUAAAACGUCCGUAGCCUGUCUGAUACAUUUGUGGGUAAAUCAACCAGCUCAACUGGUUGAAUUCUGCGAAGACGGCCAGACUUGGGACCGGGAGAGGUGUGGGGUACUCUCAGGGUAGGGGUAAAAUCCUGUCAUCCUGAGAGGACCACCUGUUGCGAAGGCGCCACACUGGAACGGAUCCGACGGUCAGGGACGAAGCCUAGGGGCACGAACCGGAUUAGAUACCCGGGUAGUCCUAGGUGUAAACGCUGUGAACUUGAUGUUGGGGGUGCUCCGAGGGCCCCCGGUGCCGAAGCGAAGGUGAUAAGUCCACUGCCUGGGAAGUACGGUCGCAAGGCUGAAACUUAAAGGAAUUGGCGGGGGA
This 365-nucleotide ribosomal RNA is filed under the name uncultured archaeon. RNAcentral describes it as "bacterial SSU rRNA". It matches the Rfam family "Archaeal small subunit ribosomal RNA", at positions 510 to 875 of the family's 1478-position model. The record is from RNAcentral.